Molecule: ribosomal RNA, 420 nt
Filed under: uncultured bacterium
Lineage: Bacteria
Description: bacterial SSU rRNA
Rfam family: Bacterial small subunit ribosomal RNA
Source: RNAcentral
UGAGGAAUAUUGGUCAAUGGGCGCAAGCCUGAACCAGCCAUGCCGCGUGCAGGAAGACGGUCCUAUGGAUUGUAAACUGCUUUUAUUCGGGAAUAAACCUCCUUACGUGUAGGGAGCUGAAGGUACCGAAUGAAUAAGCACCGGCUAACUCCGUGCCAGCCGCCGCGGUAAUACGGAGGGUGCAAGCGUUAUCCGGAAUCAUUGGGUUUAAAGGGUCCGCAGGCGGUCUUAUAAGUCAGUGGUGAAAGCCUACAGCUCAACUGUAGAACUGCCAUUGAUACUGUAAGACUUGAAUUCGGUCGAAGUGGGCGGAAUAUGACAUGUAGCGGUGAAAUGCUUAGAUAUGUCAUAGAACACCGAUAGCGAAGGCAGCUCACUAGGCCUGGAUUGACGCUCAGGGACGAAAGCUAGGGGAGCGAA